UCUAUCGCAGGUGCAGGGUCAACAAUUCCAGCCAGUCCCUUUCCCGAGUCCUUCAUGGCAGACUCAGGUUCAUCCUUUGCGUCUGAUCCCUCCUUUAGAAGCUUCUCGUCAGUGAGAAUGGACUUAAGCCCAAGCACUCCAAAGUGAGCAAGCAUCCUCACCUUCCACAGGGCGAAAUCACCAUCACCCUCGAACCGGUCAAUAUCCACACGUUCCUUC
Molecule: long non-coding RNA, 219 nt
Filed under: Brassica napus (rape)
Lineage: Eukaryota; Viridiplantae; Streptophyta; Magnoliopsida; Brassicales; Brassicaceae
Description: long non-coding RNA (BNAP_LNC012896)
Source: RNAcentral